UACGGGGGGAGCAAGCGUUGUUCGGAUUUACUGGGCGUAAAGGGCGCGUAGGCGGCGCAACAAGUCACUUGUGAAAUCUCCGGGCUUAACCCGGAGCGGCCAAGUGAUACUGUCGUGCUAGAGUGCGGAAGGGGCUACUGGAAUUCUCGGUGUAGCGGUGAAAUGCGUAGAUAUCGAGAGGAACACCUGCGGCGAAGGCGGGUAGCUGGGCCGACACUGACGCUGAGGCGCGAGAGCGUGGGGAGCGAACCGG
RNAcentral lists this ribosomal RNA (253 nucleotides) under uncultured bacterium. Its description in RNAcentral is "partial 16S ribosomal RNA". It matches the Rfam family "Bacterial small subunit ribosomal RNA", at positions 524 to 776 of the family's 1533-position model. The record is from RNAcentral.